GAUGAACGCUAGCGGCAGGCCUAAUACAUGCAAGUCGAACGGGAUCUGAGGGUAGCUUGCUACCCGAUUUGAGAGUGGCGCACGGGUGCGUAACGCGUGAGCAACCUACCCAUAUCAGGGGGAUAGCCCGAAGAAAUUCGGAUUAACACCGCAUAAUAAUACGCUAACACAUGUUAAUGUAUUUAAAUAUUUAUAGGAUAUGGAUGGGCUCGCGUGACAUUAGCUAGUUGGUAAGGUAACGGCUUACCAAGGCGACGAUGUCUAGGGGCUCUGAGAGGAGAAUCCCCCACACUGGUACUGAGACACGGACCAGACGCAUAGGGGAGGCAGCAGUAAGGAAUAUUGGUCAAUGGGCGUAAGCCUGAACCAGCCAUGCCGCGUGCAGGAUGACUGCCCUAUGGGUUGUAAACUGCUUUUGUUAGGGAAUAAACCUACUUAUGUAUAAGUAGCUGAAUGUACCUAAAGAAUAAGGAUCGGCUAACUCCGUGCCAGCCGCCGCCGUAA
Molecule: ribosomal RNA, 504 nt
Filed under: uncultured bacterium
Lineage: Bacteria
Description: partial 16S ribosomal RNA
Rfam family: Bacterial small subunit ribosomal RNA
Source: RNAcentral